GAUGAACGCUGGCGGCGUGCCUAAUACAUGCAAGUCGAGCGAACAGACGAGGAGCUUGCUCCUCUGACGUUAGCGGCGGACGGGUGAGUAACACGUGGAUAACCUACCUAUAAGACUGGGAUAACUUCGGGAAACCGGAGCUAAUACCGGAUAAUAUAUUGAACCGCAUGGUUCAAUAGUGAAAGACGGUUUUGCUGUCACUUAUAGAUGGAUCCGCGCCGCAUUAGCUAGUUGGUAAGGUAACGGCUUACCAAGGCAACGAUGCGUAGCCGACCUGAGAGGGUGAUCGGCCACACUGGAACUGAGACACGGUCCAGACUCCUACGGGAGGCAGCAGUAGGGAAUCUUCCGCAAUGGGCGAAAGCUUGACGGAGCAACGCCGCGUGAGUGAUGAAGGUCUUCGGAUCGUAAAACUCUGUUAUUAGGGAAGAACAAAUGUGUAAGUAACUAUGCACGUCUGGACGGUACCUAAUCAGAAAGCCACGGCUAACUACGG
This 496-nucleotide ribosomal RNA is filed under the name uncultured bacterium. RNAcentral describes it as "partial 16S ribosomal RNA". It matches the Rfam family "Bacterial small subunit ribosomal RNA", at positions 28 to 506 of the family's 1533-position model. The record is from RNAcentral.